This 385-nucleotide ribosomal RNA is filed under the name uncultured bacterium. RNAcentral's name for it is "bacterial SSU rRNA". It matches the Rfam family "Bacterial small subunit ribosomal RNA", at positions 30 to 416 of the family's 1533-position model. The record is from RNAcentral.
AUUGAACGCUGGCGGCAUGCCUUACACAUGCAAGUCGAACGGCAGCACGGGAGCAAUCCUGGUGGCGAGUGGCGAACGGGUGAGUAAUAUAUCGGAACGUGCCCAGUCGUGGGGAUAACGUAGCGAAAGCUACGCUAAUACCGCAUACGAUCUAUGGAUGAAAGCGGGGGAUCGCAAGACCUCGCGCGAUUGGAGCGGCCGAUAUCAGAUUAGGUAGUUGGUGAGGUAAAGGCUCACCAAGCCGACGAUCUGUAGCUGGUCUGAGAGGACGACCAGCCACACUGGGACUGAGACACGGCCCAGACUCCUACGGGGGGCAGCAGUGGGGAAUUUUGGACAAUGGGCGCAAGCCUGAUCCAGCAAUGCCGCGUGCAGGAUGAAGGCC